Pyrus x bretschneideri (Chinese white pear) is the source of this 1764-nucleotide long non-coding RNA. RefSeq lists it as uncharacterized. The record is from RefSeq and is a predicted model, not a curated record. The transcript has 9 exons. Lineage: Eukaryota; Viridiplantae; Streptophyta; Magnoliopsida; Rosales; Rosaceae.
CUUUUCUACUUGACCUUUCCACUUUGUUUUUCACCUUCCCUGCUGUGCGAUUUUCUCCCUCUUCAUCGUUCCCCCUUUUGCUGCCAAAUCUUUGCUCUUUCUUCGCAGAAUAGUCUUAGAAGAGAUCCUGACUUUAAUUUUAUUUUGGAUUUGGUUUCGGGUCUUCUCCGGUGUGCAACCUGUGUUUUGUUUCCGGUCUUCUCCGGUGACGAACCCUUUGUUGGUCAGCGUUUUGUUCUCAUCUUGCCAUCGGCGGGAUCAAAAUUUUAAGGUAGUCAAGGUUUUGUCGAAACUGACAACAACGUUUUGUCGAAGCUUAUAAAAUUGGUUUCGAGCGUUCGUGGCCGUUGGUGCUUAGAAUUUCAGAGUGUUGACUCUUUUCGUCGGCGAUCCCGGAGUUGGGACUGAGCACGGCGUGCCUUUAAAUUAUCGUCGGGCAAAUUGUAUUGAACUCUGUGAGUUGUAGCGGUUUGUUGAGAAUUUGUCGGCUAAGGCAUAUUUUGUGUUUGGCUUCCUCUACUGACAAGUCUGAGAAUUCGCAUGAGCUGGAACGCUACUGUUGGUUUGGCAUAACCAGCUUUUCUGUAUAGCAUGGCCUCCAAUCAUCAUUCAUUUGAAGAUUUUGCAAGCAGCGGUUGCAUGGGAAGCAGGGAAGCUGUUGGUGAUGGAGAGGGUGAAGGUUGCUCCAUCUAAGGCCAUGGAAAUGAGGAUAAAGGUCAAAUAUACCUCAGUUUAUCACACUGAACUCUACUUCUGCCGAAGGCACAUUUACUUCGAGUGAAUACAUUGAUGUUCAUUCUGGCCGUCUUUCCAAAAUCAAGCCCCUUGCUCAGUUGGACAAAGUUUGCAUCCUUAGUUGUGCCAUACCAACAGGUUUGGGUUCCCCUCUCAAUGUUAGCAAAAUGAAAAAUUAUCCUCAGUGUUGUUUAUUGGCCUCGCUGCUACUAAAGGUGGAAAAAUUUCUGAGGCGCCAGAGUAUUGGGGUGGAGUCGAUGGACUUGAAGCCCAAGAGGUUUGACGAAGUCUACAAUGUACAUACAGCUAAGGAAAAGACCGAGACAUCAACCAGUGCAGAAGCUCCUGAUAGGACUAAUUGCAGAUAGCACUACAAAUGAGCACUACAAUUUUAAGCUUGAUGUUGCAAGAGAAAAAUUUUGGACAAAGCAAAAAAUAACAUGAUGACCAAGAAAAAGAUGGUCAUUCCCAAACAAGCAUGACCAAAAGAUUGACCAGGAAAAAUCAUAAACACUGAGCAGAUGUGUGGUGCCAAGCUUCUGAUAUGGACAUGAAUAUUUUUCGUAUUUGAACGAUUUUGAUCUUAUGAAUUUUUGUACAUGAAUAUAGCUUUAUAACAGUGAGGAAUUGCACACUGCCAAUCUCUAUCUUAGGUAUAUAAAUCUAACUUCAAUAAAUUCUGUUUUAUGUAUGUACAUAUUAUCAAAAUAUUUUAAACACCCGCAACAACGCGCAGACACUUUUGCUAGUCUGACACUAAAAGGCUAUCAUAAAACAAAUGGCACAAAUAAAUGAUAAAAUGCAAAAUAAGAAGGUGUGGAUUAACAUCGUGUUUGUCUAGCCACGUGGAGUUGGUUUAAGAUUAUGGUGCUUCUAAAAAAAACAGCUGAUUAAAAAUUUGGAGCAACACAACAAAUAUGUUUGGAAAAAAUAAAAAAAAUAAAAAAUUUUCUAAAAAAUGUAGUCAAUGAUAGUAGAAAAGUAGAAGCAGGGUCUAACAUGCUUCUAAAAAAGGUUUUUUUUUUUUUU